Molecule: ribosomal RNA, 1498 nt
Filed under: uncultured bacterium
Lineage: Bacteria
Description: 16S ribosomal RNA
Rfam family: Bacterial small subunit ribosomal RNA
Source: RNAcentral
AGUUUGAUCCUGGCUCAGAAUGAACGUUGGCGGCGUGCCUAACACAUGCAAGUCGAGCGUGAAAGUCCUUCGGGAUGAGUAAAGCGGCAGACGGGUGAGUAACGCGUGAGAAUUUUCCUUUCAGUGAAGAAUACCUUUGGGAAACUAAAGUUAAUACUGCAUACGUCUCGAAAGAGAGAAAGAUGGCCUAAUUGCUGUCGCUGGAAGAUAAGCUUGCGUUCUAUUAGCUAGUUGGUGAGGUAAUGGCUCACCAAGGCGAUGAUGGAUAGCCGGCCUGAGAGGGCGAACGGCCACAUUGGAACUUAGACACGGUCCAAACUCCUACGGGAGGCAGCAGUGAGGAAUAUUGCACAAUGGGCGAAAGCUGAUGCAGCGACGCCGCGUGGAGGAUGACGGUCUUCGGACUGUAAACUCCUGUUAAGUGUGAAAAAAGACUCGUUUUUAAUAGAAACGAGGGAUGAUGGUAGCACUAGAGAAAGCACCSGGCUAACUUCGUGCCAGCAGCCGCGGUAAUACGAGGGGUGCAAACGUUAUUCGGAAUCACUGGGCGUAAAGGGUGCGUAGACGGCAACACAAGUCAAUCAUUAAAUUUCCUGGCUUAACUAGGAACCUGUGAUUGAAACUGUGUCGCUUGAGGAUGGAAGAGAGAAGUGGAAUUCUCGGAGUAGCGGUAAAAUGCGUAGAUCUCGAGAGGAACACCGAUGGCGAAGGCAGCUUCUUGGUCCAUUUCUGACGUUGAGGCACGAAAGCGUGGGGAGCAAACAGGAUUAGAUACCCUGGUAGUCCACGCUGUAAACGAUGAUCAUUAGAUGUUAGGUCCGCUUUAGGGCUUAGUAUCGCAGCUAACGCGUUAAAUGAUCCGCCUGGGAAGUACGGUCGCAAGAUUAAAACUUAAAGGAAUUGACGGGGGUCCGCACAAGCGGUGGAACAUGUGGUUUAAUUCGACACUACGCGAGGAACCUUACCUAGGCUUGACAUGCAUUUGACAGGUAUGGAAACAUACUCUUCUAGGCUUCGGUUUAGACAUUUGCACAGGUGCUGCAUGGCUGUCGUCAGCUCGUGUCGUGAGAUGUUUGGUUAAGUCCUCUAACGAGCGCAACUCCUAUCACUAGUUGCAACCCUUUAUUGGGGCACUCUAGUGAAACUGCCUGGGAAACCAGGAGGAAGGUGGGAAUGACGUCAAGUCAUCAUGGUCCUUACGUCUAGGGCUACACACGUGUUACAAUGGCUAGUACAAAGAGUUGCAAGCUUGUAAAAGUAAGCUAAUCUCAUAAAACUAGUCUAAGUUCGGAUUGAGGUCUGCAAUUCGACCUCAUGAAGUUGAAAUCGCUAGUAAUCGCGCAUCAGAACGGCGCGGUGAAUUCGUUCUCGGACCUUGUACUCACCGCCCGUCAAACCAUGAGAGUCUUUUGUGCCCGAAGUUGUUUUAGCUAACCGUAAGGAGGCGAACAGUGACGGUAUGGGAGAUGAUUGGGGUUAAGUCGUAACAAGGUAGCCG